This is a long non-coding RNA of Asparagus officinalis (garden asparagus), 178 nucleotides long. RefSeq lists it as uncharacterized. The transcript has 3 exons. The record is from RefSeq and is a predicted model, not a curated record. NCBI's taxonomy places the organism in Eukaryota, Viridiplantae, Streptophyta, Magnoliopsida, Asparagales, Asparagaceae.
GGACCGAGAGACCAUUCUUCGGGAACGAUUCAUCUACCGCGUCUACCAUUGGAGUUAGCCCGGUAUCUAUCCCUGGCAUAUCCAGUUUGCCUCAGAGCGACGGGCUUGCAGGACCAGCCGCUAGGACUGAUUCUCAUAUGACUCCUGGCAUCCCUCAAAUGCCCGCGGAUAAUGGAUC